UGUGAAGCAUAGAGUAAUAGUCACUUUAUUAUGUUUAUGAAACAAAUACAUAUUUGCACUCACUAGCCUGGAAGAUUAAUUGGAAAACACUAAUAUUUUCUAAGAAGUUAGCACUAAUAUUGUCUAAGAAGUUACACAUUUCAGAUAACACCCAAGGGUGCUCAUUGCUUCCAGCAUUCGUUCGUAAACUGAGCCUCUCCUUCUGGUUGUAAAUUGUAUUUUAAGAUGCAGAGAGAGUUAGAGAUUAUACCAAUCCAGAUAUCUGCAGUGAAAUCACUUAGUAUGUCUGUGUUACUGAUAGGUCUUGUUAAUGCUGCACAGAGACUGAUCUGCUGGGAGCGGAUCAGUGGCGUACAUUUUCUGCUGGUUGUCAUGACAACCAUAAAUCCAUGCAGCUGUACCGAGUGUGUUAAUCUGUGUAGUUUAAUCCAGUUUCCAGAUUAGGUCAUCAAUAUUGAGCUCUUAGGUAACCACUGGUUUAAAUGCUGCUCUCCAUUCUCUUCUCUUAAAAUAGUGCCUGGAGUCCAACCCGUGCGCCUACAAGGAAGAUGCAUUGCAACAUUUAGGAAAGACAGAGCCACAGAGCAAUUUAUUGCUGUAAUAGCAGUGUAUAACUUGGCUCAGUGUCCCAAGCCUGGUAUUUUUCAGGUGUUUACAGUUCCACAGAAUCCUCAUUUAGAAUCUUGGUUUUGCUGAAGUCAAGUUGAAGAGCCUCUGUCAUGCCCAAGUCCGCUCUGAUACUCAGAAGAUGCAAAAAUUACACUGUAGGAUUGAGCCUGGGGUUCUGGUCUUGAAGUUCCACUUCUCUGGCCAAGCAUGCCAUAAUUGCAGUGAAGGACAGCUGAUCACUUUCCAGCAUUGAUAAAUGUAACACUGAAAAUGA
Long non-coding RNA from Neopsephotus bourkii (Bourke's parrot), 883 nucleotides. RefSeq lists it as uncharacterized. Lineage: Eukaryota; Metazoa; Chordata; Aves; Psittaciformes; Psittacidae. The transcript has 2 exons. The record is from RefSeq and is a predicted model, not a curated record.